This is a long non-coding RNA of Malaclemys terrapin pileata, 1237 nucleotides long. RefSeq lists it as uncharacterized. The transcript is spliced from 2 exons. Lineage: Eukaryota; Metazoa; Chordata; Testudines; Emydidae. The record is from RefSeq and is a predicted model, not a curated record.
UCACAGCUUUAAGUACAUAGGUAACUAAGUUACGCAUACUCAUGCAAAAACUUUGCAAAGUAACCAGCUCCCCAAACUCAAGCUUGCAAGGAAACUUAAUUGAGAAGUUAAACCCAGAAAGUCGUCUCACCUGAACUUGCAAAUCCGAUUACUUGUUCUGGGAAAUACUGAGUAAAAGAGUUAACAGAAUUGAGUCCAGCAUGUAUUUUACGUACCUUUCACACAGUGGAUGCGGAAAAGAGAGGAAAACACAACAGCACAAGUCCUAUUAAAUCUCCAGUGAUCCUGGAUGUAUAUUUUUUUUUAAAUGGAGGAAAAAAACCUAAAUUGAAUGUCCCUCAUUACAAGAUAAAUUUUGGAAUGACAGAUUGACUCACCCUCUGCUGAUAGACCCUGUAUGUUUAUUCCCUUGGCAGCCAAGAAACUCAGACAUGCAUCUAUGUUUUCAAUCUAAACAGGAAACAAGGAGACAAAAGAAUACGCGUUGUAGUAAAUGUUUACUUAAUCUACAGUCACAUUUUAUUGCCUACAACCUUUGUAUCACAGAAAAAGCCCCUUUGUUCAUUGCAGUGGAAAAAGGGUUCUUAAUAUUGGAACCAUAACAACAUGAAAACUCCUAAGUUAUUAGACAAUCAACACUGUGUUGAUUAGGGCUCCUCUUAGUUUGUAUUUGUACGGAGCAAGUUAUUUAAUACUCUACCCACGCAGAUCCAAGAAAGAUGAUUGUUGCAUCUCAGUAGACGGCCAAAUAUAACAUGCUAGGAUUUUUGUCCUAUGAUAAACAUGAUACUGAAAAUAAAUAUGGUGCCAAAUUUGCCUGAGGAGAAGAGAGAUUACCACUUGCUCUUAAGCAGACAGCUGGCAGAAAUUUCCAGUCAUGGAAAUGUGUAAAAUGUAAGAAUGGUAACUAGAAACCUCAGUUGGAAUCCAGAAAAUGUUUACUCACAAAAUUCCCUGGAUGUUAGAAAUUACAUACUGAAACCGGCUACAGUUAGUCACAGUGGACCAAAUUUUGCCUCUUCAGGGGGUGCAGGGAGCUGGUGCAAUUAUGCUGAGUUGGAGGGGGCAGGAUUUCAGUUGGCCUGACAGGGUAUGCACAUCCAGCUCUCUAGGGAUCCCCGGCAAGUUGUUUGGGAGCCACGAUUAUUUGCUAGGAUUACCAAUUUUGGUUGGACCUAUUCCUGGAGGUUUCAUCACAUGACAUAAUCUAUAAUUAAAGAUUAACCUUUGAUUCGCG